AACUGAGGGGGGCUGCUCCUAGUACGAGAGGACCGGAGUGGACGCAUCACUGGUGUUCGGGUUGUCAUGCCAAUGGCACUGCCCGGUAGCUAAAUGCGGAAGAGAUAAGUGCUGAAAGCAUCUAAGCACGAAACUUGCCCCGAGAUGAGUUCUCCCUGAGACUUAGAGUCUCCUGAAGGAACGUUGAAGACGACGACGUUGAUAGGCCGGGUGUGUAAGCGCAGCGAUGCGUUGAGCUAACCGGUACUAAUGAACCGUGAGGCUUAACCUU
RNAcentral lists this ribosomal RNA (271 nucleotides) under Salmonella enterica. RNAcentral describes it as "partial 23S ribosomal RNA". It matches the Rfam family "Bacterial large subunit ribosomal RNA", at positions 2660 to 2925 of the family's 2925-position model. RNAcentral also lists the same sequence under 1 other name. Lineage: Bacteria; Pseudomonadati; Pseudomonadota; Gammaproteobacteria; Enterobacterales; Enterobacteriaceae. The record is from RNAcentral.